RNAcentral lists this transfer RNA (84 nucleotides) under Alphaproteobacteria bacterium. RNAcentral describes it as "tRNA-Leu". It matches the Rfam family "tRNA". Rfam says of the family: Transfer RNA (tRNA) molecules are approximately 80 nucleotides in length. Their secondary structure includes four short double-helical elements and three loops (D, anti-codon, and T loops). The record is from RNAcentral. Lineage: Bacteria; Pseudomonadati; Pseudomonadota; Alphaproteobacteria.
GCGGGCGUGGCGAAACGGUAGACGCAGCGGACUCAAAAUCCGCCGUAGAAAUACGUGUCGGUUCAAGUCCGACCGCCCGCACCA